UGGUAAUGCCGGAUGCUCCGACUCCUCGCAUGGGGUGUCGGGAAAGAUUUCAUCGGUAUGGGAUGGGGUCGCGUCCUAUCAGGUAGUCGGCGGGGUAACGGCCCACCGAGCCUACGACGGGUAGCCGGCCUGAGAGGGCGACCGGCCACAUUGGGACUGAGAUACGGCCCAGACUCCUACGGGAGGCAGCAGUGGGGAAUAUUGCACAAUGGGCGCAAGCCUGAUGCAGCGACGCCGCGUGCGGGAUGACGGCCUUCGGGUUGUAAACCGCUUUUGAUCGGGAGCAAGCCUUCGGGUGAGUGUACCUUUCGAAUAAGCACCGGCUAACUACGUGCCAGCAGCCGCGGUAAUACGUAGGGUGCAAGCGUUAUCCGGAAUUAUUGGGCGUAAAGGGCUCGUAGGCGGUUCGUCGCGUCCGGUGUGAAAGUCCAUCGCUUAACGGUGGAUCUGCGCCGGGUACGGGCGGGCUGGAGUGCGGUAGGGGAGACUGGAAUUCCCGGUGUAACGGUGGAAUGUGUAGAUAUCGGAAAAUAAC
This 535-nucleotide ribosomal RNA is filed under the name Bifidobacterium pseudocatenulatum. RNAcentral describes it as "bacterial SSU rRNA". It matches the Rfam family "Bacterial small subunit ribosomal RNA", at positions 161 to 707 of the family's 1533-position model. Lineage: Bacteria; Bacillati; Actinomycetota; Actinomycetes; Bifidobacteriales; Bifidobacteriaceae. The record is from RNAcentral.